UCCGCUCGCUGCCGGAGCUGCGUGGACCUUGGAGAAUAACCCCUUCUACUUUCCAGUUGAGGGCCGGCUGAGGGUCGCACGCAGCAAGCGCAGCCCAGUCGCUGCUCGCAGCUCCAUGUCCUCCCACCGGAAAGCAGGCCGAACUUCUCCGAGGCCUGAGGGGCGGAGGAACCCCAGCUCCCGUUGGUACCGUGUGUGAUGCUGGCAGCACAGGCAGGGGCUUGCAGGAAGCCCGAUUGCUCCAUGCAGCAAGAAGGCAAGUUCCCUCAUAUAAAUGGCCAGAGUGGAUGGGACCAGGACUGGAGGGGGUCACGAGGACAUGAUGCUACAGGUGGGCAGGAGGCUUACUGACCGACCUGCUCACAGCCCCUUGCUCCAGGCAUCCCUGGUGGUGGCUGCACACGCCAGGUCUGGGAGCCGGACACUUGGAGCAAGAUGACAGCCCAGCACGACGCUGGGAGCGCUGGGCUUUGGGGGCAGGUGGGCCUGGCUCUUCUCCCCUCUGAGUCUCAGUUUUCUCAUCUGUCACAUGGGGAGAUCACAAUUUUCAACGCUCAUCUGUAGGAAAAUCUGAUUCGAGGAUGGAGGUGGGUGUUUUCUGCAGACUGGUGUGGCAGUCUCGUAGCUCAAGUGCCUGGCUCUGCCCAUUCCUCAGGGGUCAUUCUGAGUCCUUCCCUCAGUGAGAGCGUUGUUGUCAGUGCUUCCCUGGGGCUUCAUCAUCUGAGGCCUCCGACAAAGGGGCAGGGCAUAGGCUCCGCAGCUUGAUGGCUCUAGGCUGGAGCCUGGUUCCCUGAUGCUUGCUGUGCUGCCUUAGUCAGGGGCUUAACCACUCUGUGUGGGCUCCAGUGCCUAUGAUCACAGAGUGCUGGGGGCUGAAUCGUGUCACCCUAACCUAACCCCCAGUACCUCUAAAUGUCAUUGUAUUUGGAGACAGGACCUUUUAAGAGGUAAUUAAGGUAAAAUUGUUACUGAGGCUGGUGCCCCAGGAUCAUACCCCUACCCCUCCCUUAAAUAGAAACAAAUUACUCUUAUCUAAGUUUCAGGAGGAAGCUUCAAGGAGAAAAAAAACAAGAACCAGUUAGAACCAACUAGGCCCAAGAUGGCAGAGGAUUUGACUUCCAGUGGACCUUUGAGCCUCAUUAUACACUCAUUGUAAUGCAUUAGCGUGCUAAAUGACACACUCACCAGCGCCAAGACAGUUGACAGUUGCCAUGACAACAACUGGAAAAGCCCACAUAAGAACUGGAAAGGAAAAUUGCAUCAGUUCUCGGUCCAAACCACACCUCUGGCCUCGGAUAACGCAUGAAUAUUCCUCCUACUCUUUGCAAUUCCCUCCUUUUACUUCCACCCUCCUACAUAUUUGGUGUGUCCACCCAAAUUGGGUUGAGGAGUUGAUUUAUGGACUUGGUUCCCACUUCUCCUUUCUCUGGCCGUUGGAUAAAGCCUGUACUCUCCCUCUGUCAUCAUCAGUUUCAUUACUGGCUGUGCAAAUCCGAUCGGACAGCAGGUCUCGGCCUGGGCUAGGAUCCUGGUGUGGGUUCAGUCAACCAGCGAUCAACUAGGUAACAAAAUGAGGUCACUGGGGUGAGCCCUAAGCCAAUAGGGCCCACGUCUUUGUAAGAAGAAUGGGUGAGGACACAGACACACACCGGAGGGAAGACACAGGGAGCAGACGGCUGUCUGCAGGCCAAGGGGAUGGGCCUCAGAAGGACCAGCCCUGCAGACGGCUUUAUCUCAGAUCUCUAACCUCCAGAGUCCUGAGAAAAUGAACUUCUGCUGUUUAAGCCGCCCAGGCGGUGGUACUUCGUAGUGGCAGGCCUAGCAAAUGAACAGAUGGGGUCACCUCGAAGAUCUGACGUGUUCGUACAAGUGAAAUGCCCAGAGCGGCCUAGAGCGGCCCACGAUGGACGCAGCCCACACAGAGGCCAGCCGUCAGCCUGCAGGUUGGGGCGGAUCUGAGGACGGGAGGAGAAAGGGGAAGGGAACGAUGUGGUAACCUGAGGCAACCUCUGUUUCCCCUCCGCACACUGGCUCUGAACUCCGCUGGCUCUCACUCCACGGGCCGCACUUCCGCUCGCCUCCCCAGGACACGACGUGCUCCGCAGGCCUCUGCUCAGGCCGGUCCCUCUGCUGGCUGAGCUGGUCACUGCUCCUGCACCCUGGGUGCCUGCCUGUCUCCCAUCUGCUGAGCAGAGUGUCCUGGAGGGCUGGGCUGUGGUGAGGUGGCAGGGGUUAGGGGGAGGGGGUAAGAGUCAAGGAACGAGGAGCCGUGGGCUCUGGGGGUCACGGGCCAGCGUGGGAGGUCCAGGUACCUGUGUCAUUCCUUUAACAGUUGUGCCCUGCCCCCUCCCCUCCACAUCCAGGAAUGAGCCUACCUGGCUGCCUUCCUUUUCUCGGUCAGGGUUUGGGAAAUGGCGGGUCUGAGUGUCUGUCCUCGGUUGGGUGUGGGGACUGAGAUGCCCUGCCUCUGUACUGUGCCUACAGCCCUGGGGUCCUAAGCCAACUCUCCAUCUUCUUACCAGUCUCCAGAAUUCUCCUUUGAUUGUUCCUUGCACCAUUCACAGAGUUUUAAGCUGUCAACAGAGGGCAGCCGGAGGGAACAAUGAGCCAAUGCCAUCUUGUCUGGACUGGAAGUCUAACCGUUCACCUUUAACGUAUUCGACAGAUGGGUUGACUCACAUCGCACAGCCUGACAUUAUCAUAAACAGAAGUCUGACCCAAGUGUUCCAUCUGGGUGUCGGGCAGGGGGUGGGGGCACUAUGCGUUUUUUCCACCACGCCAGAAUCUUCCAUUUGUUUCUGUAAGUGUCACUUAAUGAACUGAGGCAUCAUGCUUUAUCCCUGUCAUGGUUUGGGUGCUGCUGGUAUAUUUGGGGCUAUUUUUCUUUCAACUGAUUUUUUAGGAAAAUUAGAAUGUUAGGCUUUUUAGGAGGAAGUUUACAAACUAGCUUCUGCUUUCCUCCACCUUCUCAACCUAGAUGUACAUUUUUGAGGAUAAGAAGGCGUUAGCCAGGUGGUGACCUGGGGCUAAGGAGAGAUGCAGAUUCUCCAGGACAGUGAGGAGUGCUUCCGGGAGGGCUACAGAGAGAAUGGCUGGAGGGAUUGAUGGUUUUAGGAUGUGGUGAUGGAGAAGCAGACUGGAUGAGAUUAAGGAUAACCUAGAACAGAAGUCAGAAAACUACAGCCCGGGGGAAGCCAGCUUUUGUGAAUACAAUUGUGUUGGGACACAGCUGUAUUAAUUCAUGUGCAAAGUGCCUCUGGCUGCUUCUGUACUGCAGAGUUGAAUAGUUGCCACAAAGACCCUGUGGCUUGAAAAGCCUAAAUAUUUACUAUCUGGCUGUUUACCAAAAAGGUGUCUUGACCCCUGACCUAUAGUGUCAACCCAAGAAGUUUGUAAAUUAUUCUUUUGGGUUAAGGAGACAGAGCAGUAUUCUGGCUGCAGUCAGCUCUAAGCUUUAGGAAGUUCUCUAAAGGUUAAUAUGUGAUUUUGCCUAUAGCAGGGCUAGUAGGAGGCAGGCAGGAUGGAAAGGGAAGAUUCAGGAAUGGAGAGACGUGGUGCUGGAGGUCAGGUCAAGGAAGGGAUCCACGGAAGGGCUCUGAGUAAAGAGUUGACAGACAUGUGGCUGAUGUGGUGUCCAGGGCAGGACAUACCUAACCUCUGGGUGAAAUGUGAGGGCAAAAAAAUGUUACCUGCCAUUUCAGAAAGCAAAAGAUGCUGCCGUCAGCCACGGCAGCCUCUCCCAAACGUGAGCCCUGAGGCGAAUUCAGGCUGGACAAAAACGGGACACCACUCUAGAGAGUUAAGGUGUGCAUCUAAGGAACGAUUUCAGUGAGCCCAGAUAUUUGCAUCUACCCAUACGUAGAAAAGCACUAGAAUCAAUUCCUUGAGAUGUCUGAUUUUUGUGAUGAACAGUAAUCUUUUGAUCAACCACAUGUUUGUGUUUUUCAGCAAAAGCUCUGUACAGCCUGGCUCCUCCCUUACCUCUGGAGCAGUUCCUCAGAGCUAGCGGAGAGGCUGUCUCCCAGGCUGUGUCCUCAGUGAGGUCCCUGAAUCAAACAUAACUCACAAUUUUUAGGCUGUGCUUUUUUUUUUUUUCAGUUGACAAAGGUCACAACAUACCAGGCCUUCUGCUGUGUGUUUCUCAUACAUACUUUUCUUUAAUCCUCGCAGAAACCCUGUGAGGCUGGACUUCUCACACCUCCUCCACAAAGCAGGAGACCGAGGCAGGGGAGGUAAGGUGGCUCACCUGAUGCCAUGCCCGUAGUAAAUGAAAGAGUGUGGGUCGAUCCCAGGUCGCUCUGAUUGCAAAGUCUAAGCUAGCGCCCACAUAGCCGGAAGCUCACAAACUCUUGGAGUUGGCCCACGGGGAUGUGACGUCUCCAGGAAUCAACCCUUGAGUCCCCUUUCCUGCAGGGGAUGUGGACGCUCUGGCCGAGGCUGAUGCUCUCUCACUGGGUUCUGAUCUCUGCAUAGUCUGUGUAGGUGCCCUCCUGAGUCAUCCCGUGAAAGGCGAGGGAGGCGUAAUGCAGCUCCUGCUCCAUCCUCAAGGUGGGGGCGGUCCCUGUGGAGCUCGUGGGCUCAUCAGGACCCUCCACCUUGGACUCUUGCUGGAGACCCUGGGUGGAGAGCAGAGAAAGGGGUCCAAUCAAGGAAGUUGUAGGGGGAGAGGGCAGAAAGGGUCCAUGAAGUGAAUUUGACUCUGGAACAGAACAUUUAUUCAUUCUUCCUUUUUCUUUUUAACCAAACAUUUCUCAAGUUUGCAUAUAUUCAGUCAUCCAGCAAAUAGAACACUGUAGGUUGUUUUCCAGUUCCACUGAACAUGCACACAGACCUAUGCAGAAAAUACUAUUACGUUACAGAGAGAGAAACUAAACCUCAGAGAAGUUAAGUGCUUCCCGAGGUCGCAUGUCUAUCGAUCACAAACUCCACUCCUGGACGCUCUGAUGCCUCCUAAGUGCCCAGCACUGGAUACACAGGAGGGCGUUGAGGACAAGCUCCUCCCCGCCAAGCAGCUCUCCCACGGCAGCUGGGUGUCCUACAAUUUAACUCAAUUCUGACACUACUUGCCUGGAGGCAGUGUGAGGUCCCACAGGUUAAGGGCACUGUCCCAUGAGACCGCCCUCUCCCUCCAUGUCCAGGUUGUCACCUGUGUUUAUGAUCAACUGGCUAUAAAUCAGAGGUUCCUAGGACCUCUUCCUUGGGUUAAAUGAGUUUGCUAGAGUGGCUCACAAAACGCAGAAAAAGAGUUUGCUUACUGUGUUUCGGCUUAUUAUAAAAUGAUACGAUGAAGGAUGCAGAUGAACAUCCAGAUGGAAGAGAUGCGUACGGCAAGGCGUGUAGGAAGGAGCAAGGAGCUUUUAUGUUCUCUUUGAGUGCACCAUAUUCCCAGCUCCUUUGCCAACCCAGAAGCUCUCUAAACGCCAUACUUUGGGGAUUUUUAUGGAGACUUCAUCACAUAGGCAUGUAUACUGAUUAACUCCAUUUCUAGCCCCUCUCCCCUUUCUGGGGAGUGGGAAGUGGGGCUGAAGAUUUCAAGCUUCUAAUCUCAGCUUGGUCCUUCUGAUGACCAGCCUUGAUCCAGGAGCCUAAUUGCCUCAUUAGAACAAAAGAUGGUGGUCUCACCCAGGAAGUUCCAUGGGAUUUAGGAGUACAACCAUCUUCUGCUGCAGUUAUAUUUCUUAGCUCUAGGUUUAUUGCAACAUUUCUCAAAAAAGUCUUUCCACUCCAUCUCCUCAUGCUCUCUCUUGAACUCACUCCAAUCAAGAUAACUGCCUCCAUCAGGUUACCAGAUCUUUUGUCAAGAUCAGCUAUGAUAGCACGUAUGGUUGUUUCUCAGACCUUAUCUUACUCAGCAUUUGAAACAAAUGGGCUCUCUCUCCUUGAAGCUCCAUCUCUCCUUGACUACCGGGACCCCCCCCUACAUUCUCCUGGUCAUUUAUUCUUCCUCAGUGGUUGUCUUGCUAUUUCAACCUUAUCUUCUUGACUCUAAAUGAUGGAGGGUCACAGACUCUGUCUGUGGACCCUUCCUCUUCUUUGUGAUUUCAUCUACUAUCAGACUUUGGUGUAGAUGAUCCCUUGAACCUCUGUGUAUCCCACCCGGAUUCCCCUCUUGUGCUCCAGACUCUUGCCGUCUGCUUGUCAUCUACACUUGGGUGUCUCAGAGGCAGCUCAAACUCACAGUAACCAAGAUAAAAGUUUGAUUCCCUUCUUGCAGGUAUACUCCUCCUUCAGAGACAGCAAUUUUAGGAACUGGCAAUUCAAUUCUUCAUGUUGUUCAGGGCAACCACACUGGAGUCAUCUUUGGCGUCUAAGGACAUCUAAGGACAUUUAUAGACAUUUAUGGAUGUCUAUGGACAUCUAAGGACAUCUAUGGACAUCUUAGGACAUUUAUAGACAUUUAAGGGUAUCCAAGGACAUCUAAGGACACCUGUGGUGUCAUCUUGCACAUCUAUGGCUCCUAUGAGGUAGAAGCAGGGAGCUCUGUUUGCUCACACCCCACAUGUACUCUGCCACUCCAUUAGCAUAUCCUGUUGGCUUUACCUUCAAAAUGUGUCCACAACCCAACCGCUUCACAUCAGAAUCAUCAUUCUACCCUAGACUAAGUCUGUCUCAUGGACUAAGCUGUGUCUGCCCCAAAUUCAUAUGUUGAAGCUCUAACCUCCACCGUGACUGUGUCUGGAGAUAGGACUUUUAAAGAGGUAAGUCAUUAAGUUUAAACGAUGCCAUUAGAACAGGACCCCAAAUGACCGACGUCCUUAUGAGAAGAGGAAGAGGGAUCAGGGACGCACAGCACGCAGUGAAGACCAUGUGGGAACGCAGCAAGAAAGUGCCGUCUGCAAGGCACCGAGAGAGGCGUCAGGGGAGACCAGGCUUGCUGCCACCUUGACCUUGGACUUCCAGCCUCCCGAACUGUGAGCAAAUUAAUUUCCGUGGUUUAAGCCUCCCAGUCCAUGGUAUCCUGUUAUGGCAGCCCUGGCAGACUACUCCAUGCUGUUCCAUCCCUUGCCUGGGCUGUCUGAGCGUCUUCCUUACCUAGGCUCCUUUCUUCUACCCCAUCCCACUACAGACUUUCUCAACACAGCAGCCAGUGUGAUCGCAUUUAAAACGAGGGUCAGUGCAUCACUUGUGAAGUAUUAGAAUAUAUAUAUAUAUAUAUAUAUACUGGUCUCUGCCCUCAGUUCCUGGUACGGAGGCCUUAAAACUCUUGUAAUUUCCCAAGUGACAGGAGCACUGGGAGCAUCAUCUGUCUCAUGUUGGUUCCUCACACAGAGAUCCUAAAUCCUGCGGAAUUUCCUGGGUGAUAGGAGUGUCUUUCAUUCUAAUGAGGCAACCCUAGGUUGGUUCCAAAAUGGCUCUUGGAUGGGACAGAGAAAGCCAUGACUAGGAGCCUGGAAUCCCCUAUGGUCCAGAAAAGGAAGAGGGACUGGAAAUUGAGUUAUACAUCAAUCAUGGAGUUAAUCAUGAUGAAGCCUUAAUAAAAGUCCCAAUAGUAUGGGGUUCGAGAAGGUUCUGGGAUGGUGACCAGGUGGAGGUCCUGGGAGGGUGAUGUGUCUGGAAGGGGAGUUGGAAACCCUGCACCCCGUCCCACAUACUUUGCCCUGUGUAUCUCUUCAUCUGGCUUUUCAUGCAUUCCUGAGCUAUAUCCUUUCAUAAUAAACCGGUAAUCUAAUAAGUAAAUGGUUUUCCUGCCUUAAAGGUCCCCCAGGUUGUUUGGCAGUGUGGAGAAGCCGUGCAUUUCAGACUUGGGCAUGAGGGGUUAAUGGUUUCUGAUGGAGAGGGACUGCCCCUGCCAGGGCUGGUCAAUGUCUAGAGAGUCUAAGGGAUCUGCUUGCAAGCCUGCCUUUGAUGUUGCAAACCCAUCAGCCCAAAGCUCACGACCCCCACCACUUCCUUUAUCCAACUCUUACAUGCUGGACCGUCAUCCUCCUGCUCUCAUCACUUCAGGGUCAGGUACCAGACAGCUAGAGACAGCCCCUACACCCCAGAGCGCGCCGCAGUUAUUCACAGACAACUCCAAACCUGCUUACCCCUCCUCGCCUGUUCCUUUCUGCAUAAACCACAAUAAAAUCUCUUGCUCAGGUUUCUGCCUCGCUCCCUCUGUCUCCUCACAGACCCUGGUGCUGCCCCUCAUGGCCCUGUAUGCUGUGGCAUGCCCCCUCCUCUGGGAACUGUAACAAGCUGUCUUUUCCAUGGCAAUCAGCUGCCUCCUGAUCUGCUGGCCUCCCAUAUCUGAGUAGUAAUAAAAUCGGCAUUUUCAAACAGGCAGGAAGGUGGUGGGCUCAUUUCUGGACACACUGAAUAGAGCAGGACUCUGGGCCACCCUGGGAGAUGUGCAGGGGGAGCUGCAUGCCCGGAUGCCUGUGUCACUCACCAGGGAAGCUGUCCCCACAGCAGGGUGGAUGUCCUCCACACCCACUGCUGGCCUGGCUGCCUUCUUCCUGUAGGUCUUCACCCUGCUGGGAGACAUCAGGGUCACUUUUUUGAGGCUGGAGUGAGGGGACUGAGGCAGGUCAAGGGUAGGGAGAUCCCGGGAAAUUUUAUAACAAGGCUUUAUGACAAGCCCCACCCCCCACCCCCCUCCCAAUCCUGGAUGUCUGAGACCAGGGCUGGCCUUUGCUCUGGGUCCUCACAACCCUUUGGGUUCCUCUUCUCCACCUCUGGCCCACACCCAACCCAGCUCACAUGAAGA
This is a long non-coding RNA of Camelus dromedarius (Arabian camel), 8689 nucleotides long. RefSeq lists it as uncharacterized. Lineage: Eukaryota; Metazoa; Chordata; Mammalia; Artiodactyla; Camelidae. The transcript has 3 exons. The record is from RefSeq and is a predicted model, not a curated record.